Molecule: ribosomal RNA, 481 nt
Filed under: Streptococcus gordonii
Lineage: Bacteria; Bacillati; Bacillota; Bacilli; Lactobacillales; Streptococcaceae
Description: bacterial SSU rRNA
Rfam family: Bacterial small subunit ribosomal RNA
Source: RNAcentral
GACGAACGCUGGCGGCGUGCCUAAUACAUGCAAGUAGAACGCACAGUUUAUACCGUAGCUUGCUACACCAUAGACUGUGAGUUGCGAACGGGUGAGUAACGCGUAGGUAACCUGCCUGGUAGCGGGGGAUAACUAUUGGAAACGAUAGCUAAUACCGCAUAAUAUUAAUUAUUGCAUGAUAAUUGAUUGAAAGGUGCAAUUGCACCACUACCAGAUGGACCUGCGUUGUAUUAGCUAGUAGGUGAGGUAACGGCUCACCUAGGCGACGAUACAUAGCCGACCUGAGAGGGUGAUCGGCCACACUGGGACUGAGACACGGCCCAGACUCCUACGGGAGGCAGCAGUAGGGAAUCUUCGGCAAUGGACGAAAGUCUGACCGAGCAACGCCGCGUGAGUGAAGAAGGUUUUCGGAUCGUAAAGCUCUGUUGUAAGAGAAGAACGGGUGUGAGAGUGGAAAGUUCACACUGGGACGUAUCUACCA